Molecule: ribosomal RNA, 958 nt
Filed under: uncultured Bacteroidota bacterium
Lineage: Bacteria; Pseudomonadati; Bacteroidota
Description: bacterial SSU rRNA
Rfam family: Bacterial small subunit ribosomal RNA
Source: RNAcentral
AGUCGCGUGAAGGAAGAAGGAUCUAUGGUUCGUAAACUUCUUUUGCAGGGGAAUAAAGUGCAGGACGUGUCCUGUUUUGUAUGUACCCUGAGAAUAAGGAUCGGCUAACUCCGUGCCAGCAGCCGCGGUAAUACGGAGGAUCCGAGCGUUAUCCGGAUUUAUUGGGUUUAAAGGGUGCGUAGGUGGUUUGAUAAGUCAGCGGUGAAAGUUUGCAGCUUAACUGUAAAAAUGCCGUUGAAACUGUCGGACUUGAGUGUAAAUGAGGUAGGCGGAAUGCGUGGUGUAGCGGUGAAAUGCAUAGAUAUCACGCAGAACUCCGAUUGCGAAGGCAGCUUACUAAGCUACAACUGACACUGAAGCACGAAAGCGUGGGGAUCAAACAGGAUUAGAUACCCUGGUAGUCCACGCAGUAAACGAUGAUUACUAGCUGUUUGCGAUACACAGUAAGCGGCACAGCGAAAGCGUUAAGUAAUCCACCUGGGGAGUACGCCGGCAACGGUGAAACUCAAAGGAAUUGACGGGGGCCCGCACAAGCGGAGGAACAUGUGGUUUAAUUCGAUGAUACGCGAGGAACCUUACCCGGGUUUGAACGUAGGGAGACAGGGGUGGAAACAUCCUUUUCAGCAAUGACUGCCUACGAGGUGCUGCAUGGUUGUCGUCAGCUCGUGCCGUGAGGUGUCGGCUUAAGUGCCAUAACGAGCGCAACCCUUAUUUCCAGUUACUAACAGGUCAAGCUGAGGACUCUGGAGAGACUGCCAGCGUAAGCUGUGAGGAAGGUGGGGAUGACGUCAAAUCAGCACGGCCCUUACAUCCGGGGCGACACACGUGUUACAAUGGUAAGGGACAAAGGGCAGCUACCGGGCGACCGGAUGCGAAUCUCUAAACCUUAUCUCAGUUCGGAUCGGAGUCUGCAACUCGACUCCGUGAAGCUGGAUUCGCUAGUAAUCGCGCAUCAGCC